Aethalodelphis obliquidens (Pacific white-sided dolphin) is the source of this 521-nucleotide long non-coding RNA. RefSeq lists it as uncharacterized. The record is from RefSeq and is a predicted model, not a curated record. NCBI's taxonomy places the organism in Eukaryota, Metazoa, Chordata, Mammalia, Artiodactyla, Delphinidae. The transcript is spliced from 3 exons.
CUGUUAUGUAAUGUCCAACCCACUGUGCUCACAGCCGGGUACAGGGGCUUGGAACCCAGGAGAGACAGCUAAGAUGCAGUUUCCUCAUCUGUGAAAUGGGAACAACGUCACUGAGGUGCUGACUUUGGCAGGAUGUGCAAGACACGAGGCCGGCGUCCAGGACAGGACAGAAGCACAGUGAAGCUCCAAGAUGCAGAGGAAGAACCUAGUAUCCAGCUUUUCUAGCUCAGUGUCCAGGGCAGGAGGAAGAGGCUGCAGGCAGAACCCGUGGCGGGACCUCAGCGUGGACCUGGCCGUCCUUGCACUGUUGUCUCCCAGGGCACCAUGCCUGCCUGGUGGGCCGGAGGGCGAGGCUCCUUCAAGGUACACAUUUACAAACUACAAAUGGAUGCCCUCAGGCUCUUUAUUAUAUUUUGUUUACUGUGUUUUUGAGGCCAGGGCAAAAAUUAGAUGUGAUCUUACGGCUUUUCUACCCAAGUUUUUAAAUGUCUUCUCCUGGGUGUGAAGGAAGGAACUGGAUG